GGCCACCGCGCAGCAUGGUGGGGUCCCUCCCCGACCUCACAGACGAGAGCGAGGGAGCCUCUGCUGCUGGGGGCCUGCCCUGGGGCCUCACGCCGCCCCAGCGUCGCCACUGACAAAGCCUCAGACAUCCAGCGACGUGGGCUCUGAGUCCAGGGUGCGGGGCCGUCAGACAUUUCAGCUGCAUCUUCACAUUCGUUUGUGCCCACGGUCAGCAGAGUCCUCGGGAGGCCGGGGCCUGAGUCACCCCUGGCCCGGGGGAGGACGCCCUGGGCAGGCCCUGGCUCACCCCUCCCGCACCGCACACCCCUCGGCGCACCUGCCAUCUGCACCUGCCUCCUCCAAAUCCCACCGCUGACUCCCCCCCACCCCACCGAGGGCCUAGAUAAACGCAUCUGCGAGCCCUCGGCCCACGCAGAGGGUGUUGGAUGUUGCACAGAUGUUCCCCCAAGACAAACGGUCAUGAAAGAGGAAAAAAUAAUCAUAUAAGUGAACGAAAGGAAAUUGCAGCAAAACCUAAAGUUCCUGGAGAUGAAGGUGGAAAACAGGUAGUUGGAGAGCAGCUGUCCUCAGCACGCUGGCCGGAGCUCGCUGGCGCCGUGACUCGUGAGGGGACUGCACCUGGAGCCCAGGACUGGGUGGUAUUUGACUGCCUUCCUUCCGUGCUCCUCACAGUGUCCACACUGACUUACCUAUUCUCGGCCAUUAGUGUGGAUUAGGACGCGUCCCACGUGGAGCAGGAGCCAGUGAGGCAAGCUGUGGACGCGGGUGCGAGGACCCGCAGAGUCUGCGUCUGGACCAGCCGGGCAGGUUCUGUUUCUCUGCCGCGGGUGAUCCAGCCUCUCCUUGGGCAGAUUCGGGCUCAGCCCGGGAGGUUAGUGACCUGCCCGCUUCCCUCGCCGUCCUCACUUGACCCCCCAGGAUGCACCAGGUUUCAUCCUGGACACUGGAGACACAAUGGCCAGCAAAAGACCCACAUGCAUUUGUCCUCUCAAUGAAUAACGAUGUAGCAGUGGUUUUCGUGCCAGGCAGGACUCUGGGUCCGGGGUCUGAAAGCUGCGGCCAAACCCAGCAUGGAACUUGGUUUUAUAAAUAAAGUUUUAUUAGAACACGGCUGUGCCCA
This 1120-nucleotide long non-coding RNA is filed under the name Vulpes vulpes (red fox). RNAcentral's name for it is "lncRNA (ENSVVUG00000009308.1)". The record is from RNAcentral. Lineage: Eukaryota; Metazoa; Chordata; Mammalia; Carnivora; Canidae.